RNAcentral lists this ribosomal RNA (647 nucleotides) under Salmonella enterica. RNAcentral describes it as "partial 23S ribosomal RNA". It matches the Rfam family "Bacterial large subunit ribosomal RNA", at positions 1 to 688 of the family's 2925-position model. The record is from RNAcentral. Lineage: Bacteria; Pseudomonadati; Pseudomonadota; Gammaproteobacteria; Enterobacterales; Enterobacteriaceae.
GGUUAAGCGACUAAGCGUACACGGUGGAUGCCCUGGCAGUCAGAGGCGAUGAAGGGCGUGCUAAUCUGCGAUAAGCGCCGGUAAGGUGAUAUGAACCGUUAUAACCGGCGAUACCCGAAUGGGGAAACCCAGUGUGACUCGUCACACUAUCAUUAACUGAAUCCAUAGGUUAAUGAGGCGAACCGGGGGAACUGAAACAUCUAAGUACCCCGAGGAAAAGAAAUCAACCGAGAUUCCCCCAGUAGCGGCGAGCGAACGGGGAGGCGCCCAGAGCCUGAAUCAGCAUGUGUGUUAGUGGAAGCGUCUGGAAAGGCGCGCGAUACAGGGUGACAGCCCCGUACACAAAAGCGCAUGUGCUGUGAGCUCGAUGAGUAGGGCGGGACACGUGGUAUCCUGUCUGAAUAUGGGGGGACCAUCCUCCAAGGCUAAAUACUCCUGACUGACCGAUAGUGAACCAGUACCGUGAGGGAAAGGCGAAAAGAACCCCGGCGAGGGGAGUGAAAAAGAACCUGAAACCGUGUACGUACAAGCAGUGGGAGCACAGGUUUACCUGUGUGACUGCGUACCUUUUGUAUAAUGGGUCAGCGACUUAUAUUCUGUAGCAAGGUUAACCGUAUAGGGGAGCCGGAGGGAAACCGAGUCUUAAC